GCAUCUCCUCGGUGCCAUAGCUCCUGAAACACAAACAUUUGGUUAAUUACUUAACCCAUUAACGUCGCAACAAUUACGAAAUAACACGGCUCAACGACAGAAUCGGACGGAAGCACAAAAGCGCACUCAUUCUUGACCCUCGGCGUCGUGUUGUCGGCCGCCAACACAACCUCUUCGAGCCAAGAACUAGUACUACUUGAAUCCAUCUCUAGCAACUACUAAAGACAUAACAUCAACUUCGACCCAAUCGAUCAACUUCCGCCACCGCUAUAAGUUCACGUCGCACUCACGCACCUAUAUCCUUAAGGUUCACCGUCCUACAGUCUCCUA
Molecule: long non-coding RNA, 330 nt
Filed under: Ananas comosus (pineapple)
Lineage: Eukaryota; Viridiplantae; Streptophyta; Magnoliopsida; Poales; Bromeliaceae
Description: long non-coding RNA (ACOM_LNC010261)
Source: RNAcentral